ACUUGUUAAGCAUACAAAGAAAGGAAAUAAAAAAUAAAAUUAAUAUUGAAAAGAUAACUUUUGAUACUUUGUAUUGAAUGCACGCAUUUCAUGGCAUAAUUUCUAUUUUUAAAAGUUUAACCAGUGCCCGGGGCACUGUUUAGCAUUUUUCUAUGCGGGAUAAAAUACGAUAGUGGUAGUGUAACUUACAUGUGACAAAUUAUGCUACACAUUCAUAGAACUCAUAACAAUCUAAAAAUAACAAUCAUAUAUAUUAAAUAAAUCAUACAUGAGACAAAUUAUGCUCCUGAUUCAUGAAACUCAUAACAAUCUCAAACUAUCAUAUACUAAAUAAAUCUUACAUGGAUAAAGUUAUUGAUUUAUAGAACCUAUAACAAUUUCAAAAUAGUUAUAAUAUAUAUUAAAUAAAUCAUACUAGUUAACUCUAAAAAUAUAGGCGUAACUCGCACGGAUCUCUUACUAAUUAAAAGAGAAGGUGUAAAACAAUCUCACAUGACUGAUAUCACAAUUACUCAACAUGUCUUUUUAUGUACAUAUAUAUACCUGCAAAAAUGAGUUGUUUGCAUAACUUGUUUCUCCAUCACCUCCAUUCAUGUGCACCUGCCCCAAGUUCAUUCUCACGUUUUAUUUCCCCCUUUCUCAAUUCUCUGUGUUUAAUAAGUAAUAACUGGUCUUAUGUUCGAGGGUGUGUGUGUGUGUAUAUAUAUAUUGACGUGUAGAAUUAAUAAAAAGUUUGAUU
This 739-nucleotide long non-coding RNA is filed under the name Trifolium pratense (red clover). Its description in RNAcentral is "long non-coding RNA (TPRA_LNC005610)". The record is from RNAcentral. Lineage: Eukaryota; Viridiplantae; Streptophyta; Magnoliopsida; Fabales; Fabaceae.